Molecule: ribosomal RNA, 301 nt
Filed under: uncultured bacterium
Lineage: Bacteria
Description: partial 16S ribosomal RNA
Rfam family: Bacterial small subunit ribosomal RNA
Source: RNAcentral
CAGCAGCCGCGGGAAUACGUAGGUGGCAAGCGUUGUCCGGAAUUAUUGGGCGUAAAGGGCUCGCAGGCGGUUUCUUAAGUCUGAUGUGAAAGCCCCCGGCUCAACCGGGGAGGGUCAUUGGAAACUGGGAAACUUGAGUGCAGAAGAGGAGAGUGGAAUUCCACGUGUAGCGGUGAAAUGCGUAGAGAUGUGGAGGAACACCAGUGGCGAAGGCGACUCUCUGGUCUGUAACUGACGCUGAGGAGCGAAAGCGUGGGGAGCAAAUGGGAUUAGAUACCCCUGUAGUCCCUGUCUCUUAUAC